GAUGAACGCUGGCGGCGUGCUUAACACAUGCAAGUCGAGCGAAGCGAUUUUAAGGAAGUUUUCGGAUGGAAUUAAAAUUGACUUAGCGGCGGACGGGUGAGUAACGCGUGGGUAACCUGCCUCAUACAGGGGGAUAACAGUUAGAAAUGACUGCUAAUACCGCAUAAGCGCACAGUGCUGCAUAGCACAGUGUGAAAAACUCCGGUGGUAUGAGAUGGACCCGCGUCUGAUUAGGUAGUUGGUGAGGUAAUGGCUAACCAAGCCGACGAUCAGGAGCCGAACUGAGAGGGUGACCGGCCACAUUGGGACUGGGACACAGCCCAAACUGCUACGGGAGGCAGCAGUGGGGAAUAUUGGACAAUGGGGUAAACCCUGAUCGAGCGACGCCGCGUGAGUGAAGAAGUGUUUCGGCAUGUAAAGCUCUAUCAGCAGGGAAGAAAAUGACGGUACCUGACUAAGAAGCCCCGGCUAACUACGUGCCAGCCGCCGCAGUAA
This 495-nucleotide ribosomal RNA is filed under the name uncultured bacterium. RNAcentral describes it as "partial 16S ribosomal RNA". It matches the Rfam family "Bacterial small subunit ribosomal RNA", at positions 28 to 523 of the family's 1533-position model. The record is from RNAcentral.